This is a non-coding RNA of Triticum aestivum (bread wheat), 126 nucleotides long. NCBI's taxonomy places the organism in Eukaryota, Viridiplantae, Streptophyta, Magnoliopsida, Poales, Poaceae. The record is from Rfam.
UAAAUAAUUCCUCCGUCCAAAAAAGCUUGUCCCACAAAUAGAUGUAUCUAGCACCAAGUUAGUGCUAGAUACAUCCAUUUGAGGGACAAGCUUGGGACAAAUUUUUUUGGAUGGAGGGAGUACUAA